This 582-nucleotide ribosomal RNA is filed under the name fungal endophyte sp. bn12. RNAcentral's name for it is "eukaryotic LSU rRNA". The stretch from base 254 to 407 matches the Rfam family "5.8S ribosomal RNA". Lineage: Eukaryota; Fungi. The record is from RNAcentral.
UCGUAACAAGGUCUCCGUAGGUGAACCUGCGGAGGGAUCAUUACACAAAUAAACAUGGAAAGGCUGCCCGCGGCUGGUGUUUCCCCCCUUCUCGGGAGGCUCCAGUUGGCGGACGCUGGACUAUUUUUUAUUACCCUUGUCUUUUGCGCACUUGUUGUUUCCUGGGCGGGUUCGCCCGCCACCAGGACCACACCAUAAACCUUUUGUAUGCAGUUGCAAUCAGCGUCAGUACAACAAAUGUAAAAUCAUUUACAACUUUCAACAACGGAUCUCUUGGUUCUGGCAUCGAUGAAGAACGCAGCGAAAUGCGAUACGUAGUGUGAAUUGCAGAAUUCAGUGAAUCAUCGAAUCUUUGAACGCACAUUGCGCCCUUUGGUAUUCCAAAGGGCAUGCCUGUUCGAGCGUCAUUUGUACCCUCAAGCUCUGCUUGGUGUUGGGCGUUUUUUUGUCUUGGGGGCCUGCCCCUAAAGACUCGCCUUAAAAAGAUUGGCAGCCGGCCUACUGGUUCCGCAGCGCAGCACAUUUUUGCGCUUGCAACCAGCUCUUAAAGAGGACGGCACUCCAUCAAGUCUCUUUAUUCAC